UGCAUGGGCGCAGCCUGAUGCAGCCAUGCCGCGUGUGUGAAGAAGGCCUUCGGGUUGUAAAGCACUUUCAGCGAGGAGGAAGGGUUUAAGGCUAAUACGUGUCGUGUGUGACGUUACUCGCAGAAGAAGCACCGGCUAACUCCGUGCCAGCAGCCGCGGUAAUACG
Molecule: ribosomal RNA, 166 nt
Filed under: uncultured Aeromonas sp.
Lineage: Bacteria; Pseudomonadati; Pseudomonadota; Gammaproteobacteria; Aeromonadales; Aeromonadaceae
Description: partial 16S ribosomal RNA
Rfam family: Bacterial small subunit ribosomal RNA
Source: RNAcentral